GCUUUUUUCUGACAUCGAUCGAUAAAAGUCAGAUUGCUAUAAUCGGCACACUGAUUGUCGUUGCCGAGUGACUAUCUUUUAAACAUCGUGUUUCCUUUCAGUACAUUUUAAUAUGUUCAUUUAACAAGCUGACAAGCUGCGUGAUUAUUUCUAAUCGCGUGCCUCUAAUCUCUGCGCGCGGAAAAAAAGUGUAGAUGAGUACAUAUGAAUAAAAUAUCACUGUUCGAUCAUCGUUACGUUUAUGAUUUGUUCAAUCGUUUACUUUUUUUCAACGUCACGAAGCACAUAUGUAUCGAUAUAUUUUGAAAUUUGAUAUAAGAUCAAAUCGGAAUCGAUAAUCAAGAUGUGUGUGCGAGUGAUGCAAUGAGUUUCCAAUAGUAAAAUUAGCAGCUAUCAGUUUUCGGUAGUUACAGCUUUAAUAGGAUUGUGAUAUAGUUAAUUCUUCAGCGGAAACUUCGUAGGUACGACAAAGUCAUACGAGAAACAUCGUAGUGCUUGCUGAGACGGACUCCCUAUGCGCUUCUAUUUUUAUUCGAAAAGUUGUAAAACAAAGAAGGAGCUGGCCGCGCGUGUAUCGCGCCAUUACACAAUUUCUCGAACGGGAAAACGACAAGGCAAUAAUCAACUGCCGGAUACUGGAUACGUGAUUAAAGUCAGCGGUGUGUCCGGAAACGAUCAAGCUCGUUGGAGAUUACAAACGCGCCAUCAUCAGCCUUAAUCGACUCCGCGUGCGUGACCGAAAAUAGAAAUUUAACCAUGCGUUCCGCGUUCGCUGUUCGAUCAUUUCAAGUGGCUGGCAUAAUUUGCGGCAUGAUGUUUUGUGAAACACUCUCCUCGUGGGUCUUGAAAAAAAGCCAGAGAAAAAGAAAAAAGAAAGAGAAGAAAUAUGGAUCUAUCUUUUUUUUGUAAUAUUUGAUUUCAGAAUAAAAAAUUAUAAUGCAACAGGGACAUAGGUUUAUCACAAUGUUACUGUUGUGUAUCACAUAAAAUUUAUCUAUACAUGGUUUAUUCGGCUGUCAGUGUGCUCGUGUUUAGAAAUAUAAUAGCAAUUGACUUGUAUGAUUAAUAGAAUAACACGCUGUUUUAUUGAUCAAAAUUAGAUAAUAUGAAUUUCACUUGAUAUUAAACAUUGAAUAACGUUCAGCAUCAUAUUUUCGACUUUUUUUAUUUAGUAAAUAUAUCUGGAAGGAAAAA
Pogonomyrmex barbatus (red harvester ant) is the source of this 1194-nucleotide long non-coding RNA. The record is from RefSeq and is a predicted model, not a curated record. NCBI's taxonomy places the organism in Eukaryota, Metazoa, Arthropoda, Insecta, Hymenoptera, Formicidae.